This 253-nucleotide ribosomal RNA is filed under the name uncultured bacterium. RNAcentral describes it as "partial 16S ribosomal RNA". It matches the Rfam family "Bacterial small subunit ribosomal RNA", at positions 524 to 776 of the family's 1533-position model. The record is from RNAcentral.
UACGGAGGAUCCAAGCGUUAUCCGGAUUUAUUGGGUUUAAAGGGUGCGUAGGCGGAAUUGUAAGUCAGUGGUGAAAGCCCUUCGCUUAACGAAGGAACUGCCAUUGAUACUGCAAAUCUUGAGUACAUUUGAUGAGGGCGGAAUGUGUCAUGUAGCGGUGAAAUGCUUAGAUAUGACACAGAACACCGAUUGCGAAGGCAGCUCUCAAAACUGUAACUGACGCUGAGGCACGAAAGCCAGGGGAGCGAACGGG